AGAAGACAAAGGUUAAUCUUCAAUGUUUUGGACAUAAACAUUUAGCCUAAUUUAUUUUGCUCAGUUUCCUUUCCUUCUCUGCUGAAGCCAAUAAAAUGGAAUAUAAUUUGGAAGAUGUUAAAUGGCAGCUACUGAGCAAUUUGUGUAUGGCUAGACUGGAUUACUCUGCUUUAAUUAGAGGCUGCCUGAUGUUGAAGUACUGAAAUAAUUUACCUCUAUAACUAAGAGCACGACUCAAGGAAGCAUUUCCUGCUGCUGAAGUCUUUCAAACCAGGUAAGUCUUAAACCUAAUAACUUCCAUUGUGAGAAUGGGGCACUACCUUAACUCAUGGGUGUUCAAGCUUUUGGCUUGCCUGGGCUGCAUUCAGUGAAGAGCAAUUGUCUAGGGCCAUUAUCUGGAAAGGUUACUUGAAAAGUAAUGCCUAAUUAUUUCCAUGGAAACUACAACAGAUAACAAAGAACACAAUAACACUAUUUAACAGACCAAGUUCUCAGCCACAAAACACUGUUUUGCAACAUAGUUACCACUAUUAGUUAUGCUUUUUCAC
RNAcentral lists this long non-coding RNA (548 nucleotides) under Numida meleagris (helmeted guineafowl). RNAcentral describes it as "lncRNA (ENSNMEG00000018429.1)". Lineage: Eukaryota; Metazoa; Chordata; Aves; Galliformes; Numididae. The record is from RNAcentral.